UAGAGAUGGAAGGCGGUCCCUGAUGCUCUGCUGUCUCUCUCCCUCCUCAUCAUCCAGAGUCACAUCCCAAGUAAAAUCUCUUUCUCUUGAACCCAUUCAGACUGCCUGCCAACAUUUCCGCCCGGACAGCCAUCUCGUCUCCAUAUCAGCUGAGCGAGAGGGAAAUAUGAUAAGCCGCUUCAUUCUCACUAAGUCUAAAAGAUGUGAAGGGGUCUGGAUAGGAUUGCAGGACACCACAGGGACUGGACAUUGGAAGUGGUCAGAUAUGUCAUCAGUGAUCUAUCUGGGUUGGGCUCCUGGACGACCUCUUCCAAAGCUUACAAAGGAUAUCUGUGUUCACUUGGCAGUGACAUUUGAUUUUGCCAAAUGGCAUGAUGCUCCGUGUUCAGCAAAGAUGAGGUACAUGUGCAUGAUGAGAGCACUGUGAAAGCUCAAGUUCAGGUCAGCCUGCAAGGAAUGCUGAACUAUUAGGAAAUCAAGAUGUCUGUAUUUCUGCAUGACGGGGGCUUGGACUACAACUCUGUGAUUUUAUGAAGACGUUACCUCCCUGGUCUCCUGGAUCCAAAUCCCUGAUUUGCACCAGUGUUUCUACAGAUAAAAUAACAUUUUAAAAAACCCUGCCUUUUAGAGCUAUCUGCCCAAUCCCCAGUUACCAAAGAUGAAUGCAUUUCUGCCCUUUCAUGUUUGUUCAAAGGGCCUUCUCCAGAGGUUUCUUUUAUUGUUUCAUGACAAUAAA
Long non-coding RNA from Sceloporus undulatus (fence lizard), 736 nucleotides. RefSeq lists it as uncharacterized. The record is from RefSeq and is a predicted model, not a curated record. NCBI's taxonomy places the organism in Eukaryota, Metazoa, Chordata, Lepidosauria, Squamata, Phrynosomatidae. The transcript is spliced from 3 exons.